AUUGAACGCUGGCGGCAUGCUUUACACAUGCAAGUCGAACGGCAGCACGGGCUUCGGCCUGGUGGCGAGUGGCGAACGGGUGAGUAAUACAUCGGAACGUACCCAGUAGCGGGGGAUAGCCCGGCGAAAGCCGGAUUAAUACCGCAUAUGCCCUGAGGGGGAACGCCGGGGACCGAAAGGCACUGCGCUAUUGGAGCGGCCGAUGGCUGAUUAGCUAGUUGGUGGGGUAAAGGCCUACCAAGGCGACGAUCAGUAGCUGGUCUGAGAGGACGACCAGCCACACUGGGACUGAGACACGGCCCAGACUCCUACGGGAGGCAGCAGUGGGGAAUUUUGGACAAUGGGCGAAAGCCUGAUCCAGCAAUGCCGCGUGUGCGAAGAAGGCCUUCGGGUUGUAAAGCACUUUUGUUUGGAAAGAAAAGGUUUGGGUUAAUACCCUGGACUGAUGACGGUACCAAUCGAAUAAGCACCGGCUAACUACGUGCCAGCAGCCGCGGUAA
RNAcentral lists this ribosomal RNA (500 nucleotides) under uncultured bacterium. Its description in RNAcentral is "partial 16S ribosomal RNA". It matches the Rfam family "Bacterial small subunit ribosomal RNA", at positions 29 to 523 of the family's 1533-position model. The record is from RNAcentral.